UACGUAGGGGGCGAGCGUUGUCCGGAGUUACUGGGCGUAAAGGGCAUGCAGGCGGUCGGACGCGUUUCGGGUGACAGCGGGUGGCUUAACUACCCGAGUGGUCGAAAGACGGUUUGACUUGAGGACGCGAGAGGGACACGGAAUUCCGGGUGGAGUGGUGAAAUGCGUAGAGAUCGGGAGGAACACCAGUGGCGAAGGCGACUUUCUGGCCUGUUCUUGACGCUGAGGCGCGAAAGCUAGGGGAGCAAACGGG
RNAcentral lists this ribosomal RNA (253 nucleotides) under uncultured bacterium. RNAcentral describes it as "partial 16S ribosomal RNA". It matches the Rfam family "Bacterial small subunit ribosomal RNA", at positions 524 to 776 of the family's 1533-position model. The record is from RNAcentral.